AUUGAACGCUGGCGGCAGGCUUAACACAUGCAAGUCGAGCGGGGGAAGGUAGCUUGCUACCGGACCUAGCGGCGGACGGGUGAGUAAUGCUUAGGAAUCUGCCUAUUAGUGGGGGACAACAUCUCGAAAGGGAUGCUAAUACCGCCUACGUCCUACGGGAGAAAGCAGGGGAUCUUCGGAACUGGCGCUAAUAGAUGAGCCUGAGUCAGAUUAGCUAGUUGGUGGGGUAAAGGCCUACCAAGGCGACGAUCUGUAGCGGGCCUGAGAGGAUGAUCCGCCACACUGGGACUGAGACACGGCCCAGACUCCUACGGGAGGCAGCAGUGGGGAAUAUUGGACAAUGGGGGGAACCCUGAUCCAGCCAUGCCGCGUGUGUGAAGAAGGCCUUAUGGUUGUAAAGCACUUUAAGCGAGGAGGAGGCUACUUUAGUUAAUACCUAGAGAUAGUGGACGUUACUCGCAGAAUAAGCACCGGCUAACUCUGUGCCAGCCGCCGCUGUAA
RNAcentral lists this ribosomal RNA (501 nucleotides) under uncultured bacterium. Its description in RNAcentral is "partial 16S ribosomal RNA". It matches the Rfam family "Bacterial small subunit ribosomal RNA", at positions 30 to 523 of the family's 1533-position model. The record is from RNAcentral.